GACGAACGCUGGCGGCGUGCCUAAUACAUGCAAGUAGAACGCUGAAGGAGGAGCUUGCUCUUCUGGAUGAGUUGCGAACGGGUGAGUAACGCGUAGGUAACCUGCCUGGUAGCGGGGGAUAACUAUUGGAAACGAUAGCUAAUACCGCAUAACAGUAGAUGUUGCAUGACAUUUGCUUAAAAGGUGCAAUUGCACCACUACCAGAUGGACCUGCGUUGUAUUAGCUAGUUGGUGGGGUAACGGCUCACCAAGGCGACGAUACAUAGCCGACCGGAGAGGGGAUAGGCCCACCUGGGAACUGGGCACGGGCCCGAACUCCUCGGGGGGGAGCCGGAGGGAAUCCUUGGCAAAGGACGGAAGGCUGAACGGGGAACGCCGGGGGAGUGAAGGAGGGUUUCGGGUCGUGAAACUCCUUUUUAAAGGAAGAACGAGUGUGAGAGUGGAAAGUUCACACUGUGACGGUAUCUUACCAGAAAGGGACGGCUAACUACGUG
This 494-nucleotide ribosomal RNA is filed under the name uncultured bacterium. Its description in RNAcentral is "partial 16S ribosomal RNA". It matches the Rfam family "Bacterial small subunit ribosomal RNA", at positions 28 to 507 of the family's 1533-position model. The record is from RNAcentral.